This 466-nucleotide ribosomal RNA is filed under the name uncultured bacterium. RNAcentral's name for it is "partial 16S ribosomal RNA". It matches the Rfam family "Bacterial small subunit ribosomal RNA", at positions 28 to 507 of the family's 1533-position model. The record is from RNAcentral.
GAUGAACGCUGGCGGCGUGCUUAACACAUGCCAGUCGAACGAUGAAGCCCAGCUUGCUGGGUGGAUUAGUGGCGAACGGGUGAGUAACACGUGAGUAACCUGCCCUUAACUCUGGGAUAGGCCUGGGAAACUGGGUCUAAUACCGGAUAGGAGCGUCCACCGCAUGGUGGGUGUUGGAAAGAUUUAUCGGUUUUGGAUGGACUCGCGGCCUAUCAGCUUGUUGGUGAGGUAAUGGCUCACCAAGGCGACGACGGGUAGCCGGCCUGAGAGGGUGACCGGCCACACUGGGACUGAGACACGGCCCAGACUCCUACGGGAGGCAGCAGUGGGGAAUAUUGCACAAUGGGCGCAAGCCUGAUGCAGCGACGCCGCGUGAGGGAUGACGGCCUUCGGGUUGUAAACCUCUUUCAGUAGGGAAGAAGCGAAAGUGACGGUACCUGCAGAAGAAGCACCGGCUAACUACGUG